This 253-nucleotide ribosomal RNA is filed under the name uncultured bacterium. RNAcentral describes it as "partial 16S ribosomal RNA". It matches the Rfam family "Bacterial small subunit ribosomal RNA", at positions 524 to 776 of the family's 1533-position model. The record is from RNAcentral.
UACGGAAGUGGCUAGCGUUGUUCGGAAUUACUGGGCGUAAAGAGCGCGUAGGCGGCUUACCAAGUUGGGGGUGAAAUCACGGAGCUCAACUCCGGAACUGCCUUCAAAACUGGUAGGCUCGAGUCCGGAAGAGGGGCGUGGAAUUCCCAGUGUAGAGGUGAAAUUCGUAGAUAUUGGGAAGAACACAGGUGGCGAAGGCGGCGCCCUGGUCCGGUACUGACGCUGAGGCGCGAAAGCGUGGGGAGCAAACAGG